RNAcentral lists this ribosomal RNA (253 nucleotides) under uncultured bacterium. Its description in RNAcentral is "partial 16S ribosomal RNA". It matches the Rfam family "Bacterial small subunit ribosomal RNA", at positions 524 to 776 of the family's 1533-position model. The record is from RNAcentral.
UACGUAGGGGGCUAGCGUUGUCCGGAAUCAUUGGGCGUAAAGGGCGCGUAGGCGGCUACGCACGUCCGUUGUGAAAUCGCUCGGCUCAACUGGGCGGGGUCAGCGGAUACGGUGUAGCUGGAGCAAGCUAGGGGGCAAUGGAAUUCCCGGUGUAGUGGUGGAAUGCGUAGAUAUCGAGAGGAACACCGGUGGCGAAGGCGGCGAUCUGGACGGUGACUGACGCUGAGGCGCGAAAGCUAGGGGAGCAAACGGG